UACGUAGGGCGCAAGCGUUGUCCGGAAUUAUUGGGCGUAAAGAGCUCGUAGGCGGCCUGUUGCGUCCGCUGUGAAAUCCCGGGGCUCAACCCCGGGCCUGCAGUGGAUACGGGCUGGCUAGAGGCAGGCAGGGGAGAACGGAAUUCCUGGUGUAGCGGUGAAAUGCGCAGAUAUCAGGAGGAAUACCGGUGGCGAAGGCGGUUCUCUGGGCCUGUACUGACGCUGAGGAGCGAAAGCGUGGGGAGCGAACAGG
This 253-nucleotide ribosomal RNA is filed under the name uncultured bacterium. RNAcentral describes it as "partial 16S ribosomal RNA". It matches the Rfam family "Bacterial small subunit ribosomal RNA", at positions 524 to 776 of the family's 1533-position model. The record is from RNAcentral.